This 253-nucleotide ribosomal RNA is filed under the name uncultured bacterium. RNAcentral's name for it is "partial 16S ribosomal RNA". It matches the Rfam family "Bacterial small subunit ribosomal RNA", at positions 524 to 776 of the family's 1533-position model. The record is from RNAcentral.
UACGGAGGGGGCGAGCGUUAUUCGGAAUUAUUGGGCGUAAAGGGCGCGUAGGCGGCCCGGUAAGUCAAAGGUGAAAUCCCUCGGCUCAACUGAGGAACUGCCUUUGAAACUGUCGGGCUUGAGGCCGGGAGGGGGUAGCGGAAUUCCCAGUGUAGCGGUGAAAUGCGUAGAUAUUGGGAGGAACACCAGUGGCGAAGGCGGCUACCUGGACCGGUUCUGACGCUCAGGGGCGAAAGCGUGGGGAGCAAACCGG